This is a long non-coding RNA of Calliphora vicina (urban bluebottle blowfly), 423 nucleotides long. RefSeq lists it as uncharacterized. NCBI's taxonomy places the organism in Eukaryota, Metazoa, Arthropoda, Insecta, Diptera, Calliphoridae. The transcript is spliced from 2 exons. The record is from RefSeq and is a predicted model, not a curated record.
GCAUUAUUAUUCAUGGCUAUCUAUAUAAACCCUUGAAAUUGCUAAAUUUACAAUAAAACACAUUUAAUCCCUCGAAUUUAAUUAUAAUGUCAACAAAAACAUAUUUCUGCGUCCUCGCAUUUGUUUUAUGCUUUUCUGCAGUCUCGGCACAACCAGACCAAUGUCGUAUGUAUACAAGACUUUUGCGCGCGGGUCAGAGAGUAUGUCAACGCAUGUGUUUUCCAUCACCUCAUACAAGAUGUUUCACUUCUAGAUUAGGUCAACGAAUAGAUCUCUGUCCUGCACAUUGUUGUCGUAUUGGUAAUAGGUGCAAUCCACCUUAAUUGUUAUAAACAACGCAGAAUUAUAAAUGGAUCUUUGUUUUUGAAAUGCAAAGUUAUGAAUAAACGAAAUAUUAAUAAAAAAAUAUUUUGCAACACAAAA